UACGAAGGGGGCUAGCGUUGUUCGGAAUUACUGGGCGUAAAGGGCGCGUAGGCUGUGCUGUAAGUCAGGCGUGAAAGGCCCGGGCUCAACCUGGGAAUGGCGCUUGAUACUGCGGCGCUGGAAUGCAGGAGAGGAUGGCGGAAUUCCCAGUGUAGAGGUGAAAUUCGUAGAUAUUGGGAAGAACACCGGUGGCGAAGGCGGCCAUCUGGCCUGCAAUUGACGCUGAGGCGCGAAAGCGUGGGGAGCAAACAGG
Molecule: ribosomal RNA, 253 nt
Filed under: uncultured bacterium
Lineage: Bacteria
Description: partial 16S ribosomal RNA
Rfam family: Bacterial small subunit ribosomal RNA
Source: RNAcentral